Molecule: long non-coding RNA, 885 nt
Organism: Solanum dulcamara
Lineage: Eukaryota; Viridiplantae; Streptophyta; Magnoliopsida; Solanales; Solanaceae
Exons: 6
Source: RefSeq, a predicted model, not a curated record
CCCAAAAUACAAUUUAUAGGUGGAAGCGGGAAAAAAAGUGUCCUAAAAGUGAUACUAAAAUAUUAAAAGCAUAAAACUUUUCACCAAAACUCAUCAAGCGCCAAAACUAAGAAUUAUUUUUCUAAGAAAAAACAAAAAAAAGCUCUUUGUUUCUCAAUACAAAUCCCAUUGAUAUACUUUGCCCUAGCAGCAGCUCCUCUGCAGAUCUCUAUUCUCAGCCAACAUUCAUCAAAAACAUUGCAGUUUCUCAAAAGAGAGAAAGCACAACAAAUUCUGUCAAAUGAACAUUGGGUACUCACCUGCAGAUCGAAUCUAGCAUUUUCAGAAGCUACAGAUGCUGAAGAAAUAAUUUUUGCUGCAUCAUCUUCAACAAGGGCUAGUUGCCUCUCAUUAAGCUUUAAUUCCUCAAUAAUUGCAGCUGCAACUCCUUCAACUCCUUUUACUUCUUCUUGUCCACUUGUUCAAGCAGACAAUUCAUAAAUGUAGCAACUGCUUAUAUUAAAGUGAACUUAAGAUGAUGAGAAAUCUCAUGGAGAGCUGCUUGAUAUGGACUUUAUUCUACACGUGUGAAGCUCUAACAUAUACUCCUGUGCUUUCGGAUUUCCUCGGGAUUUGAAUAUUUUCGUUUACAAGUCAAGAUGCAAGUUUGAAGACAUUAAAUAAGUUUUGCCAAAUCGGUCAUCCUUUCGCUUGGAUAGUUUGGCAAUAAAUUUCAUUAUAUAUUUAGAGAUGUUAGCUUUUUGGCUAAUGAAUUGUGUAAAUAUAGUGUUGUGUAAUCAGUAUUGCAUGUGAGAUGUUUAUCUAUAGUUUUAAAUAAUACGAUAGAUAAUUUUGUAUAUAUGCAUUUGAUUAUCCAUAUUUAAAAUUUUUAUAAUAUCUUAGACA